GACGAACGCUGGCGGCGUGCCUAAUACAUGCAAGUCGAACGAAGUUGUUUUAACUGGUGCUUGCACCGACUUAAACAACUGAGUGGCGAACGGGUGAGUAACACGUGGGUAACCUGCCCCAAAGCGGGGGAUAACGAUUUGGAAACAGAUGCUAAUACCGCAUAACCACAGAAACCUCAUGGUUUCUGUGUCAAAGAUGGUUUCGGCUAUCACUUUGGGAUGGACCCGCGGCCGUAUUAGCUAGUUGG
This 248-nucleotide ribosomal RNA is filed under the name uncultured bacterium. Its description in RNAcentral is "partial 16S ribosomal RNA". It matches the Rfam family "Bacterial small subunit ribosomal RNA", at positions 28 to 252 of the family's 1533-position model. The record is from RNAcentral.